Long non-coding RNA from Astatotilapia calliptera (eastern happy), 1005 nucleotides. The record is from Ensembl. NCBI's taxonomy places the organism in Eukaryota, Metazoa, Chordata, Actinopteri, Cichliformes, Cichlidae.
GGCAAGUUCAUAAAGACACUUCGAAAAUUACUUUUGGAAGGAUAUGAUAUUGAAAAAAACAAUCACCCAUUGUAUGUAUAAAUAUGUCAACUCGUAUUGAAAUUAUAAAUAUCGUGCCAGCCUUGUUGAUAUAAGUUUCUUGUGUAUUGUGUGGAAUAUGUGAUGAGGAGAAUUAGGUAAAUAUGUGGGAUUAAUAAGAUGUUGAGCAGGGGUAGGAGUUAAUAAGUAUGUGUAUACUUCUUCCUACUCCUUUUCAGACCAAACAAUUGUUAUUUCAUGUUAGACGAAUGUGUUUUAUUUUAUUAUAUUUCUUUUUUGCUUGUCUGUACAAAUACGUGUGUGUGUGUAUAUCUACACAUAUAUUCGUAUCCGUAAACGAAAGUACAUGUAGACGAGUAUAUAUUGUUUUUUUUGUUUUUUGGUUGUUUGUUUUAUUAUGUCUGAAAUAAAUAAAGAUACAAUACAAUACAAUACAUUUCAUAGCAGAAUUAACACCGCCAUUCUCCGUCAGUGAUUUAAUUGGAAUGUUUCCGGGUUUUUAUUCUUCUCGUUUUUUUUUUUCUCUUUUUCCCCCUCUUGUUUUUAUGCUGCUCACCCUUGUCCUUGGUUCCUUUCUUUAUUUCUUUCACUGCUUCAAUCACCUGCUUCCACACUCAUCCACAAACAACAUCCUUUAUUUCGACACAUACGCACCGCACAAUCACGCACAGUCAUGCGCUCAACGGCAGCACAUUUACAUCAGUCAGACAACGCACACAAUCGUAUAGGAUACACACACUUAAGCCAAGCCUACUCAUAUUAGUAAGUAUGCACACACAUAGUCAGACUCAGGGAGCAUCUCACCACACAUUUUUUCUCUCUCUCCUUCUCUUUAUUUAUGAACAAGUGAUGUAUUCUCUCCACCUGUCUAAGGCAUACACAGCAUACAUCCCUAGUUAUACACAAACAUCUAUGGGUACACUGAGGUUCAUUACAUGGAAUAUAAAUGGAGCUGGCUCCAGAGAC